AACGAACGCUGGCGGCAUGCCUAACACAUGCAAGUCGAACGAGAGCUUCGGAUCUAGUGGCUCACGGGUGCGUCACGCGUGGGAAGCUGCCCGUAGGUUCGGAAUAACUCCCCGUCGGGGGUGCUAAUGCCGGAUAAUGUCUUCUGAUACAAGAUUCAUCGUCGUUGGGUGCGCACGCGUUGGUUUAGCUUGUCGGUAGGGUAAAAGCCUACGAAGGAUACGCUAGUUAGCGGGUCUGAGAGGAUGAUAGGCCACACUGGGACGAUGACGCGGCCGAGACUCCUACGGGAGGCAGCAGUGGGUAAUACUGGCAAACCGCCUAAGGCCUGAACCACCUAGGCUGCUUGAGUGAUGAAGUCCUUAGGGUUGUAAAGCUCUUUUACCCGGGACGAUAAUGACAGUACCGGGAGAAUAAGCUCCGGCUAACUUCGUG
RNAcentral lists this ribosomal RNA (433 nucleotides) under uncultured bacterium. RNAcentral's name for it is "partial 16S ribosomal RNA". It matches the Rfam family "Bacterial small subunit ribosomal RNA", at positions 29 to 507 of the family's 1533-position model. The record is from RNAcentral.